This 311-nucleotide ribosomal RNA is filed under the name uncultured bacterium. RNAcentral describes it as "bacterial SSU rRNA". It matches the Rfam family "Bacterial small subunit ribosomal RNA", at positions 28 to 336 of the family's 1533-position model. The record is from RNAcentral.
GACGAACGCUGGCGGCGUGCCUAACACAUGCAAGUCGAACGGAGAUAUGAUUUCGGUUAUAUCUUAGUGGCGAACGGGUGAGUAACGCGUGAGCAACCUGACCCUUCAGAGGGGGAUAACAACUUGGAAACAGGUGCUAAUACCGCAUAAGACCACGACCCGACAUCGGGAUGCGGUCAAAGGAGCAAUCCGCUGAGGGAGGGGCUCGCGUCCCAUUAGAUAGAUGGCGGGGUAACGGCCCACCAUGUCGACGAUGGGUAGCCGAGCUGAGAGGCUGAUCGGCCACACUGGAACUGAGACACGGUCCAGGA